RNAcentral lists this ribosomal RNA (273 nucleotides) under uncultured bacterium. Its description in RNAcentral is "partial 16S ribosomal RNA". It matches the Rfam family "Bacterial small subunit ribosomal RNA", at positions 524 to 796 of the family's 1533-position model. The record is from RNAcentral.
UACGUAGGGGGCGAGCGUUGUCCGGAAUUACUGGGCGUAAAGGGCGUGCAGGAGGUCAUGUAAGUCAGGUGUGAAAGGCUAGGGCUCAACUCUGGUUGGUCGUCGGAUACUGAAUGGCUUGAGGGCAGGAGAGGGAAGUGGAAUUCCAGGUGUAGCGGUGAAAUGCGUAGAGAUCGGGAGGAACACCAGUGGCGAAGGCGGCUUCCUGGAUUGUACCUGACGCUCAGGCGCGAAAGCUGGGGGAGCGAACGGGAUUAGAUACCCGCGUAGUCC